GUUGACAGUAGCUACAGCUUGUCGUUUCCCCUCCCGGUUCCUUCGGCUUGUUUUAUUAAGUGGAUUCUAAGACUGCUCACCUCUCAGCUAAACGGCGGUUUAUAUGAAUACCCGUGGCUGUGAAGGGAUAAUAGAGCACAUUGUCCUUUCCCGGAUUCUCCGUCUCGUUCAUGGCAAUCGGUUUGUUUCUGCUGUCGCUAUAGUUACAGCCCUGUCGGCUUCUCCUCUGCCAUACUGCGAGAACGCCGUAUCGUCCAACUAAUCGAGGAG
Xyrauchen texanus (razorback sucker) is the source of this 270-nucleotide long non-coding RNA. RefSeq lists it as uncharacterized. The record is from RefSeq and is a predicted model, not a curated record. The transcript is spliced from 4 exons. Lineage: Eukaryota; Metazoa; Chordata; Actinopteri; Cypriniformes; Catostomidae.